RNAcentral lists this ribosomal RNA (497 nucleotides) under uncultured bacterium. RNAcentral's name for it is "partial 16S ribosomal RNA". It matches the Rfam family "Bacterial small subunit ribosomal RNA", at positions 28 to 507 of the family's 1533-position model. The record is from RNAcentral.
GAUGAACGCUGGCGGCGUGCCUAAUACAUGCAAGUCGAGCGAACAGACGAGGAGCUUGCUCCUCUGACGUUAGCGGCGGACGGGUGAUUAACACGUGGAUAACCUACCUAUAAGACUGGGAUAACUUCGGGAAACCGGAGCUAAUACCGGAUAAUAUAUUGAACCGCAUGGUUCAAUAGUUAAAGACGGUUUUUCUUUCACUUAUAGAUGGAUCCGCGCCGCAUUAGCUAGUUGGUAAGGUAACGGCUUACCAAGGCAACGAUGCGUAGCCGACCUGAGAGGGUGAUCGGACACACUGGAACUGAGACACGGUCCAGACUCCUACGGGAGGAAGCAGUAGGGAAUCUUCCGCAAUGGGCGAAAGCCUGACGGAGCAACGCCGCGUGAGUGAUGAAGGUCUUCGGAUCGUAAAACUCUGUUAUUAGGGAAGAACAAAUGUGUAAGUAACUAUGCACGUCUUGACGGUACCUAAUCAGAAAGCCACGGCUAACUACGUG